RNAcentral lists this ribosomal RNA (504 nucleotides) under uncultured bacterium. RNAcentral describes it as "bacterial SSU rRNA". It matches the Rfam family "Bacterial small subunit ribosomal RNA", at positions 40 to 518 of the family's 1533-position model. The record is from RNAcentral.
CGGCGUGCCUAAUACAUGCAAGUCGAACGGUCUUUCUAUGGAAGCUUGCUUCCACUGAGAAGAUAGUGGCGAACGGGUGAGUAACACUGGGUAACCUGCCCAUAAGAGGGGGAUAACAUCCGGAAACGGGUGCUAAUACCGCAUAGUUUUCUUGAUCGCAUGAUCGGGAAAGGAAAGACGGCCUUUGUGCUGUCGCUUAUGGAUGGACCCGCGGCGUAUUAGUUAGUUGGUGAGGUAACGGCUCACCAAGACGAUGAUACGUAGCCGACCUGAGAGGGUGAUCGGCCACAUUGGGACUGAGACACGGCCCAAACUCCUACGGGAGGCAGCAGUAGGGAAUCUUCCGCAAUGGACGAAAGUCUGACGGAGCAACGCCGCGUGAGUGAAGAAAGGUUUUCGGAUCGUAAAACUCUGUUGUCAGAGAAGAACAAGUUGGAGAGUAACUGCUCCAGCCUUGACGGUAUCUGACCAGAAAGCCACGGCUAACUACGUGCCAGCCGCCGC